Molecule: non-coding RNA, 1280 nt
Organism: Misgurnus anguillicaudatus (oriental weatherfish)
Lineage: Eukaryota; Metazoa; Chordata; Actinopteri; Cypriniformes; Cobitidae
Source: RefSeq, a predicted model, not a curated record
GCACUAAUCUUUGGGCUGGAGUAGCCUGUGGCUUACGUGUCUCGUCGCAGAACGAUUUAUUUCUCUUUUUCACCUCGAUCUUUGGCCUCUUGUGAUUUAACAAAACCAACAUGUGAAGUUACAACGCUGACGAAGGAGUUUAAUCAGUAACGUUAGAGUGUGUCCUGGUAAACGUGUGCUUGGAAACAUGCAGAUUACAGUAUUUACAGAGCCGACCUUGAGGCUAUUUUUUUUGCAUGACAUCCACUGAUGGAUAAUCUGUUUACCUAAAAACAGCACUUCAGGAGAAACCUGCCUGUGAUCUGCUAAGAUGCACAGAUUCAACUCUGGCCCAUUGUCAUCCCAACACCUUAUCUGCCAUCAGUUUUGUUUAGUGUCGAUCUAUUGCAAAAGUUCUUAUAAACUUUAAAUGAGACUUUGUGUUAAGCAGGGGUUUCCAAACUUUUAAUUUCACAACAUAUUAAGCCCAGGAUACACAGCAGGAUUUUUGCAAUCCAAUAGACCUUAUCACACUGUGUGACAAGAAUUGUUUAAACUUUAGCAGUAGACUGUCGAUGAAGACACCUAUUGCAUCUGAGGCUGCGACAUCCGUCAUCAGCAUGCGCUAGUGGUAAACAAAUACAGGUAUGCAGGUCGUAGAAGCAAACACGUUGUUGAUGUGCGUUGAUCAUGCUGAACUUCUUACACUGUCAUAAAACUAUCGUGGGUGUCUUUGGUCCCAGGACUGACAGACGUCUUUAAACCUCUCACACUGUACGAGAUAGGACCACCAAUUAAGAGCCACGAUCACAGAAAUCUCCACGAUUGUUUCACGAUUGGUAAUCUUUCAUCUGGGACAGCCAAAAAUCAUGUUGUGUAUUACGGGCUUUUGACAGGUGUAAUCUUAUAGUAUAUCAAACCAUUGCUAAUAAUUAAUUGGACAAACCAUCACUCCAAUGCAACACUCACUAUCUUACGGUGCGACCCACAAGUGGGUCUUCACCCACAGUUUAAAAACCCUGAGAAUGAGUAAGAGUAUGUUGUAUUGUAAUUAAAGUCACAUCUAAGUGUUAUGGAGCAGUUUGUCAUUAUAUUCACAGUAUUACAUGGUUCUUUCAGCAGUUUCUACGUUACAAUGCUCUUAAAGUGUCCUGAUCAGCUUUGGGUCUUGUGAAGUAAUGUAAUGAGAAUGUGAUCAAUAGCUUUGCAGUAUUUUUGGUUAAACAUUUUAUUCAAAUUUGGUAAACAAUCUAGUCAAUAUAAUUCAUGCUGUGAUGCUGGAUUAAACCUGGUCAAAUGAA